AAAAAAAAAAAAAAAAAAAGUGGUUUUGUAAUUUUGAGCACCAACGAUUCCUCUUUGCAACACAUUUAUGCUUGCUCGAACAAUUCCCCAACAGUGAUUCUUAUUUGAUUUCCAAACCUUAAAAACUACCCUAAAAUCAUUGAAGAGCAGAAAAAAGAAUAUUCAAGAAUACAUUCACAGAUCUGAACAGCACCUCCUCUCAGGCCCUUCUACCUUUUGAAGGUCUAAGCCUGAUAAUUUCCAAACCAUUAACCACCAACUAUCCUCUGAAAAUAACCCCCUUUUACACUUCAAUUUCAUUGCUCUCAGAAAUUCCAGCAACCUAAUUUCUAAACUCCAGCCAAAAACCUAAACUCCUAUAUGAUAAAAAGGUUAAAUAGCUUGCAUCUUCACCAUAAUAUAGGAUAAGAGAACAAAGCUACUUGAUCUGGAAUUUUUUGAAAACAAGGAAACAAUCCCUAGUUAACUGUUUUAGCUGAACAACCAAAAAGUUUUCCCUUCUGGACAAUUGAAAAAAUAAAAUAAAAAAGAAGAGGUAGAAGCUAAAGAACAAUGUCUAAACUCAAUGGUACUCAGAACACAUGAUUCAUUUACUACACUCAAAGGCCAGUUGAAAAGUAGUUGUUUCCAAUGUAUCUUCAAGAGGCUCCCCAAGCAAAGUAUGAAACUCUAUAUAAUGAUUUGAUUGUCUUAUUUAUCCAAUAACCAAUAAUUAACAUGCAGGUUAGAGAGACAUCAACCUCAAUAUGCUCAAUGAAAAUCAAUUGAUUCACAACUAAGAAUAUAUUUAGACAUAACUUAAACGCAGCAAUCCAGAAAGUUAUCUAACUGAAGCAUGUAUUUGCGAGAAAAGCAGACAUAUGUUAAUAUCAAAGAAAAAUUUAUGCUUAGCAGGUAUCUGGUUCAAGUGGUUGUGCUCAAGCACAAAAGAAAAGGCUAUCAACUAAGAGCCCAUCAAAUCACAACCACGAUGGAGAUUUUUGUUUAAAUUUCUCCGUCAGCAAAACAAGAGACAGAUGUGCAAGGAGGGAAGGAAGGAGAUGAAAAGAGAAAUUGAUUGAAGCUCAAAACUCCGUAAAAACUUUCAUUGAGCUCCGCCUGCAUUUUGACAGCAGAGUCAGCACUCAGCAGAGAUCUCUCAGCCACCACGAUCUUCUCAGAUCUUACCAGAAAUCUCAAUUCUAUGGACUGAUCACCAACCACCAUCACAAUCCCGAAAAAUAAUUUACAAGUUAACGUGGGAUUAGAAAAAGAUUAAGGUUUUGUGGAGCAAUCAUCUUAUGGUGUUUAAAAGUUCUGACCCACGUUCAGUAAAUUAAUCAAUGAAAAAAAUCAGCAUAAUCCUGUUGCCAUCCCACUACAGUUAAAAAGACAUCAGAAUCAAACACAUGGAUCCAUAUAUGGAUUCUCGAUAUUCUGCAAAGAAGCCCAACUUACAACCAAAUACCUCAUCACUCAGAAGCUUAUUUCAAAACAUAAAGGCACGUAACAUAUAUAUCGGAACUUUUUCUUUGACUCGACAAAGAAUUCUUUAAGUACGGAUGAAAAAUGUAGAGAAUAACAUGCAUUAGAAGAAAAGAUAGCAGAUUUUAUGCUAAUAUUUGCACUAGAAGAUACCAAAAUAGCACCCGAGAUAAUAUGAGUUGUCAUUGUAUUCAGGUACAACUUCAUCAAACCAAAUAGAAAGUGAGUCUCCCUAAAAAAUAUCAUGAGAAAAUUUCAAAUUUAAACUUAAGCAUCCAAUAAGUUGCAGCCCAAGAUACCAUUUAACACACAUCUUAGCUACUUGGAAAUCAAUCUAUCUGUGUCCUUGAGUUCGCUGCAUAUCGUAUGCACCCCAGGAACCAGGUCCAACUCCAUAUUGGGGAUAAUUUUCAGGAGUGGCUUGCACAGGAUUCAUGCCAUAGCCAACAGGAUAAGGAUUACCAGCAUAUCCAGCUUCAGGAUUGCCAUAGUUUGCAGUAUAAGCUGGAUUACCUACAGCUGCAGUAGCACGAGCUCUCUUCUCUGCAUUAGCAAUCUCUGCACGAAGCUUUUCCAACUCCCGAGCCAUUGCAAUCAAUUUCUUCUCCAUCACCUGGCCAUGCUCAUAAUUUUCUGCAUAUCCUUUCUUCUCAUACUCAAUAGCAGCUCGUGCACGCUGCAAUUCCUGCUUCAUGCUCUCAAUUUCAGCCUUCAAAGCUGGUAAUUGUUGCAAAUCUGCAUUAUAUCUAGCUAAAUCUUGAGUCAUUGCCUGUAUACGACCAGUAAGUUCCUGCCUCACAUCACUAAGUUCCUUAAUAUCAGCACGGACAUGAUGAACCUCACUGCGCAUAGCCUCCAACUCACGAAGAUCUGUCUCCAUCCUUAGAGACUUCUCAUGCAAUUCCCUCAUCUGCACAUCCUUCUCCACAUGCAAUGAAUCUGCAAAAUGUGCCAUCCGUUGCAACUCAUGCUGGGCAGCUUCCAAUUCCUGCUUAAGUGCAACAUGGGUUGCAGCUAGUCGCUGGUUAUCAGCCAAUAAACCUUGAAUGUCUUGGUGUUGCACAGCAAGACGCUCCUCCAUUAUUGCAGGAUGGGGGGGAAGCCGCCUGGGAUCUAUCCCAAAUUGGGUUUCUCUCAUUUCCUCCAGUAGGGCUGGAUGGGGAUGGGGGGGCAUUGGUCCAAGCCCUCUGCCAAAAUGUGCUUCAUGGAUGGCAGGUGGUAGGCCAGCGUGAGGUAAGCCUUUCAUUGGAAUAGGGGGGCCGCGAUUUCUCCCAGACAUUCUUUCUCUUAAAGAUUAAAUGAUCUUUUAAAGUUCAGUUCUUAAAGAAACAAUUCAGAUGUCUUUCUGAUCCAAUCUGGAAUCAGAGUUCCCCGCGGAAGUGAACGCCAAAUGUGCUUCACAUCAACACCAGCAAUUCCUCUAUUGGGUAGCCAAGAAAAGAAUCAAUAAAUCAAAAUCCCGUAAAGACAAAGGCAAAAAUCCGAGAAAGAAACACCAAUCCACGAAAGGGGAACGAAAAGAAAAAGAGUGAAAUAGUGUUGUUUCUUACAUAAGAAGUGAGUUUGGGAUGCGAAGAAUUUAAACGAGGCAAUGAUUUUGGCGAGAGUCUCUCUUGCCCCUACAUAAAGAGAAUUCUCAUCGUAGAAUCGACGGGAAUGAAAUCCUGAACGCUUUCUACAAUGAAUUAGGUUUUUAAUUAUUAAACCCUAACCUUUGUUUGGAUUGAGGGGAAAAGGGGAAAAAAAAAUUUGUUGCU
This 3221-nucleotide unclassified non-coding RNA is filed under the name Hevea brasiliensis (rubber tree). The record is from RNAcentral. Lineage: Eukaryota; Viridiplantae; Streptophyta; Magnoliopsida; Malpighiales; Euphorbiaceae.